RNAcentral lists this ribosomal RNA (447 nucleotides) under uncultured bacterium. Its description in RNAcentral is "bacterial SSU rRNA". It matches the Rfam family "Bacterial small subunit ribosomal RNA", at positions 356 to 793 of the family's 1533-position model. The record is from RNAcentral.
GGGGAAUAUUGUCACAAUGGGCGCAAGCCUGAUGCAGCCAUGCCGUCGUGUAUGAAGAAGGCCUUCGGGUUGUAAAGUACUUUCAGCAGUGAGGAAGGUGGGUAUGUUAAUAGCAUAUUCAUUUGACGUUUAGCUGCAGAAGAAGCACCGGCUAACUCCGUGCCAGCAGCCGCGGUAAUACGGAGGGUGCGAGCGUUAAUCGGAAUUACUGGGCGUAAAGCGCAUGCAGGUGGUUUGUUAAGUCAGAUGUGAAAGCCCGGGGCUCAACCUCGGAAUUGCAUUUGAAACUGGCAAACUAGAGUACUGUAGAGGGGGUAGAAUUUCAGGUGUAGCGGUGAAAUGCGUAGAGAUCUGAAGGAAUACCGGUGGCGAAGGCGGCCCCCUGGACAGAUACUGACACUCAGAUGCGAAAGCGUGGGGAGCAAACAGGAUUAGAUACCCUGGUAG